GCGGCGAAGGCGCAGCCCGAGGCGGCGGGUGGGAAGAGGACUGCCAGAGGGGCCUGCGGGAGACCCAGGGUCGGACCCAUAGGAGUCCUGUGGUGAGGACCUCCUUGAUCGCUCUUCUGCUUCGGUUCCCGCUGAAGGAGGAGCUUCGGGGUGCCGGCUGGGCUGCGCGGACUCCUCUUGGGGUCCGAUGAUGGAUCCCAGCGGGUGAUCGGGAAUGGGGUUCCAAUGCAG
Molecule: long non-coding RNA, 231 nt
Filed under: Homo sapiens (human)
Lineage: Eukaryota; Metazoa; Chordata; Mammalia; Primates; Hominidae
Description: HSALNT0259093
Source: RNAcentral